Molecule: small nucleolar RNA, 126 nt
Filed under: Cavia porcellus (domestic guinea pig)
Lineage: Eukaryota; Metazoa; Chordata; Mammalia; Rodentia; Caviidae
Description: Small nucleolar RNA SNORA28 (ENSCPOG00000028439.2)
Source: RNAcentral
GUUUCCUACCCUGUGGCAGAUUAUCAAAAUAAUCUGGUACAACUAAAGCUUGCUACAGCAAGGAAGUCAAAGCUGUUCUGACACUCUCCCCUCUGUGAGAUGGGCUGUUACAUAAAGUGUGAAGAA